UACGAAGGGGGCUAGCGUUGUUCGGAAUCACUGGGCGUAAAGCGUAUGUAGGCGGAUUGUUAAGUCAGGGGUGAAAUCCCGAGGCUCAACCUCGGAACUGCCUUUGAUACUGGCUGUCUUGAGUCCGGGAGAGGUGAGUGGAACUCCUAGUGUAGAGGUGAAAUUCGUAGAUAUUAGGAAGAACACCAGUGGCGAAGGCGGCUCACUGGCCCGGAACUGACGCUGAAAUACGAAAGCGUGGGGAGCAAACAGG
This 253-nucleotide ribosomal RNA is filed under the name uncultured bacterium. RNAcentral describes it as "partial 16S ribosomal RNA". It matches the Rfam family "Bacterial small subunit ribosomal RNA", at positions 524 to 776 of the family's 1533-position model. The record is from RNAcentral.